Molecule: ribosomal RNA, 458 nt
Filed under: uncultured Enterobacterales bacterium
Lineage: Bacteria; Pseudomonadati; Pseudomonadota; Gammaproteobacteria; Enterobacterales
Description: bacterial SSU rRNA
Rfam family: Bacterial small subunit ribosomal RNA
Source: RNAcentral
AGCUUGCUCCUUGGGUGACGAGUGGCGGACGGGUGAGUAAUGUCUGGGAAACUGCCCGAUGGAGGGGGAUAACUACUGGAAACGGUAGCUAAUACCGCAUAACGUCGCAAGACCAAAGAGGGGGACCUUCGGGCCUCUUGCCAUCGGAUGUGCCCAGAUGGGAUUAGCUAGUAGGUGGGGUAACGGCUCACCUAGGCGACGAUCCCUAGCUGGUCUGAGAGGAUGACCAGCCACACUGGAACUGAGACACGGUCCAGACUCCUACGGGAGGCGGCAGUGGGGAAUAUUGCACAAUGGGCGCAAGCCUGAUGCAGCCAUGCCGCGUGUAUGAAGAAGGCCUUCGGGUUGUAAAGUACUUUCAGCGAGGAGGAAGGCGUUGUGGUUAAUAACCGCAACGAUUGACGUUACUCGCAGAAGAAGCACCGGCUAACUCCGUGCCAGCCGCCGCGGUAAAAGGG